UUGUUGGUGAGGUAAAAGCUUACCAAGGCUUCGAUCAGUAGCUGGUCUGAGAGGACGGCCAGCCACACUGGGACUGAGACACGGCCCAGACUCCUACGGGAGGCAGCAGUGGGGAAUUUUGGACAAUGGGGGCAACCCUGAUCCAGCCAUGCCGCGUGAGUGAAGAAGGCCUUCGGGUUGUAAAGCUCUUUCAGCCGGAACGAAACGGUUACGGUUAAUACCCGUGACUACUGACGGUACCGGAAGAAGAAGCACCGGCUAACUACGUGCCAGCAGCCGCGGUAAUACGUAGGGUGCAAGCGUUAAUCGGAAUUACUGGGCGUAAAGCGUGCGCAGGUGGUUUUGUAAGUCAGAUGUGAAAUCCCCGGGCUUAACCUGGGAACUGCGUUUGAAACUACAAGGCUAGAGUGUGGCAGAGGGGGGUGGAAUUCCGCGUGUAGCAGUGAAAUGCGUAGAUAUGUGGAGGAACACCGAUGGCGAAGGCAGCCCCCUGGGUCAACACUGACGCUCAGGCACGAAAGCAUGGGGAGCAAACAGGAUUAGAUACCCUGGUAGUCCAUGCCCUAAACGAUGUCAACUAGUUGUCGGGCCUUAACGGGCUUGGUAACGUAGCUAACGCGUGAAGUUGACCGCCUGGGGAGUACGAUCGCAAGAUUAAAACUCAAAGGAAUUGACGGGGACCCGCACAAGCGGUGGAUUAUGUGGAUUAAUUCGAUGCAACGCGAAGAACCUUACCUACCCUUGACAUGUAUCGAAGCCCGCAGAGAAGCGGGUGUGCCCGAAAGGGAACGAUAACACAGGUGCUGCAUGGCUGUCGUCGGCUCGUGUCGUGAGAUGUUGGGUUAAGUCCCGCAACGAGCGCAACCCUUGUCAUUAAUUGCCAUCAUUUAGUUGGGCACUUUAAUGAGACUGCCGG
Molecule: ribosomal RNA, 916 nt
Filed under: uncultured bacterium
Lineage: Bacteria
Description: bacterial SSU rRNA
Rfam family: Bacterial small subunit ribosomal RNA
Source: RNAcentral